GACGAACGCUGGCGGCGUGCCUAAUACAUGCAAGUCGAACGAGAGCGACCGGUGCUUGCACUGGUCAAUCUAGUGGCGAACGGGUGAGUAACACGUGGGUAACCUGCCCAUCAGAGGGGGAUAACAUCCGGAAACGGAUGCUAAAACCGCAUAGGUCUUCGAACCGCAUGGUUUGAAGAGGAAAAGAGGCGCAAGCUUCUGCUGAUGGAUGGACCCGCGGUGCAUUAGCUAGUUGGUGAGGUAACGGCUCACCAAGGUCGUGAUGCAUAGCCGACCUGAGAGGGUGAUCGGCCACAUUGGGACUGAGACACGGCCCAAACUCCUACGGGAGGCAGCAGUAGGGAAUCUUCCGCAAUGGACGCAAGUCUGACGGAGCAACGCCGCGUGAGUGAAGAAGGUUUUCGGAUCGUAAAACUCUGUUGUUAGAGAAGAACAAGUGCUAGAGUAACUGUUAGCGCCUUGACGGUAUCUAACCAGAAAGCCACGGCUAACUACGUG
Molecule: ribosomal RNA, 498 nt
Filed under: uncultured bacterium
Lineage: Bacteria
Description: partial 16S ribosomal RNA
Rfam family: Bacterial small subunit ribosomal RNA
Source: RNAcentral